CAUAGGUUAAUGAGGCGAACCGGGGGAACUGAAACAUCUAAGUACCCCGAGGAAAAGAAAUCAACCGAGAUUCCCCCAGUAGCGGCGAGCGAACGGGGAGCAGCCCAGAGCCUGAAUCAGUAUGUGUGUUAGUGGAAGCGUCUGGAAAGGCGCGCGAUACAGGGUGACAGCCCCGUACACAAAAAUGCACAUGCUGUGAGCUCGAUGAGUAGGGCGGGACACGUGGUAUCCUGUCUGAAUAUGGGGGGACCAUCCUCCAAGGCUAAAUACUCCUGACUGACCGAUAGUGAACCAGUACCGUGAGGGAAAGGCGAAAAGAACCCCGGCGAGGGGAGUGAAAAAGAACCUGAAACCGUGUACGUACAAGCAGUGGGAGCACAGAGCAAUCUGUGUGACUGCGUACCUUUUGUAUAAUGGGUCAGCGACUUAUAUUCUGUAGCAAGGUUAACCGAAUAGGGGAGCCGAAGGGAAACCGAGUCUUAACUGGGCGUUAAGUUGCAGGGUAUAGACCCGAAACCCGGUGAUCUAGCCAUGGGCAGGUUGAAGGUUGGGUAACACUAACUGGAGGACCGAACCGACUAAUGUUGAAAAAUUAGCGGAUGACUUGUGGCUGGGGGUGAAAGGCCAAUCAAACCGGGAGAUAGCUGGUUCUCCCCGAAAGCUAUUUAGGUAGCGCCUCGUGAAUUCAUCUCCGGGGGUAGAGCACUGUUUCGGCAAGGGGGUCAUCCCGACUUACCAACCCGAUGCAAACUGCGAAUACCGGAGAAUGUUAUCACGGGAGACACACGGCGGGUGCUAACGUCCGUCGUGAAGAGGGAAACAACCCAGACCGCCAGCUAAGGUCCCAAAGUCAUGGUUAAGUGGGAAACGAUGUGGGAAGGCCCAGACAGCCAGGAUGUUGGCUUAGAAGCAGCCAUCAUUUAAAGAAAGCGUAAUAGCUCACUGGUCGAGUCGGCCUGCGCGGAAGAUGUAACGGGGCUAAACCAUGCACCGAAGCUGCGGCAGCGACGCUGAUGCGUUGUUGGGUAGGGGAGCGUUCUGUAAGCCUGCGAAGGUGUGCUGUGAGGCAUGCUGGAGGUAUCAGAAGUGCGAAUGCUGACAUAAGUAACGAUAAAGCGGGUGAAAAGCCCGCUCGCCGGAAGACCAAGGGUUCCUGUCCAACGUUAAUCGGGGCAGGGUGAGUCGACCCCUAAGGCGAGGCCGAAAGGCGUAGUCGAUGGGAAACAGGUUAAUAUUCCUGUACUUGGUGUUACUGCGAAGGGGGGACGGAGAAGGCUAUGUUGGCCGGGCGACGGUUGUCCCGGUUUAAGCGUGUAGGCUGGU
RNAcentral lists this ribosomal RNA (1323 nucleotides) under Escherichia coli. RNAcentral's name for it is "partial 23S ribosomal RNA". It matches the Rfam family "Bacterial large subunit ribosomal RNA", at positions 165 to 1529 of the family's 2925-position model. Lineage: Bacteria; Pseudomonadati; Pseudomonadota; Gammaproteobacteria; Enterobacterales; Enterobacteriaceae. The record is from RNAcentral.